Molecule: long non-coding RNA, 1046 nt
Organism: Anthonomus grandis grandis
Lineage: Eukaryota; Metazoa; Arthropoda; Insecta; Coleoptera; Curculionidae
Exons: 2
Source: RefSeq, a predicted model, not a curated record
GUGUGUGUGCCUCCCUGAAUUUUAAAACUCCGAGAUUAUCUUUGCGUUACUAACCGGCGAUGUUGGGAUUUAAAUUUUUAAUGCGCAUUUUAUUAAAGUAAGAUUUUCCUGAUUUAUCGUAACAAAACUGAGUUUACCCCUUAUAAACCCCUAGCUUUUAAUUUACAGAUAAAACUUACUCGUAUUCAUAUAUAAUUAUUUCACCCCUAUAUUUCGUUCUCACGCAUAAUAGAAGGGUUACCAUGGGGCCUGCUGACAAGGUGUCCUUAUCGCCAAAAGAAUUAAAGACCAAUAAAUGCCGAAAUUCUUAAUAACCGUAAUAAAUAAUUUCGGCUUAUCUGGCGGUUAUCGUAAACGGCAUUAUCGUUAACAUUAUAAUCAGGGGAGCCUUAUAAAUAAAUACGCCGGUGGUUAUCUAUACCCAGCCACUUACCGUUGGACAUAUUUUAAUCAUCUUUUAUGAUAGUGGGAAGAUAACCCGUUUUGUUCAGUUCUCGAUUCAUUUUUUAUCUGGUGUUUGGGAGGUCGUAUAUACGUUUCAUUUUAUUAUUUGAUGAAAAUUUAGUAAUUAUUAAUUUAAAAAAACCAAAAACUUGUUUCUUAAGUUCUGGAAACCAUGUUUCCUCCAUAAAGCUUGUACGGUGGGAAUCGGAAUCGUAUGUCGGCCAUCUUGGUAAAAUUGACAGAAAUGACGUUGUUGGAAUUGAUUGAUGGAGUGUCAUAUCAUUUGCUUUUCAAUGUAUACCGUAAACAGAGGUUGGGUUUGUUUUAAGGAUGCUAUUUUCAUUUUUCUCUUUCAAUAUCAGGAGUAAUGUUUUAAUUGAUUUGCGGCAAUUUCAGGUUUCCGUUUCAAUGAGACGAGACAGAAGUACAAAGACUAAGAGAGCUAAGUACCCAGAAUGGACCAGAAUAAAUAUUUCUGUUAUAACUUGAGUUUAUUUUAAUUUCUUGUAGACAUGUGUCUUUCAAUUAAGUUUUUUUAUGUUAUAGUUCGAAGCUAUGCUGUUAAUAUUAUGAGAGACAAAUAGAUUGUAUUGUGUAAGAGA